Molecule: ribosomal RNA, 719 nt
Filed under: Cichlidogyrus pouyaudi
Lineage: Eukaryota; Metazoa; Platyhelminthes; Monogenea; Dactylogyridea; Ancyrocephalidae
Description: eukaryotic LSU rRNA
Rfam family: Eukaryotic large subunit ribosomal RNA
Source: RNAcentral
CGGAGAUUAGCCCAUCACCGAAGCCUGCGUGUGCUUGCAUGCUAGGCAAUGUGGUGUUUAAGCUUGUGCCUGGGAUCGUGGCCUGCCCGAAGUCUAAAUCCGAUUGUGGCUUUGGAUUCAUUCCAUAGCGGGUGAAAGUCCCGUACGGGUUGGUCACACGAUCUUUAGAUGCGCUUGCUAUCGAGUCGGAUUGCUUGAGAAUGCAGUCCAAAGUGGGUGGUAAACUCCAUCCAAGGCUAAAUACUGGCACGAGUCCGAUAGUAGACAAGUACCGUGAGGGAAAGUUGAAAAGUACUCUGAAGAGAGAGUAAAUAGUACGUGAAGCCGAUUGCAGGGAAGCUGGUGGAGUCAAGCUUCGUGCUUGAGGAAUUGAUGCUGGGAGCAGGUGUGUGAAUUGGAUGUGAGGAUGGACAACUUGGAAUUAGUUGGGCGUGUUCUGAAUGCGCUUCAAGUCAUUCUGGGUAGAGUGUUAUGAGCUGUCCUCGCUUUCCUACUCUCAGUGUUUUAUUUCUCGCUGCACAGGCCACAGUCAAUAAGUGCAUGCAGUAUGAAGGUCUAACUGUGCCUUGGUGGGUGCAAGCUUACCGGGUGCAGGAUGGCAGGUGCUGUCUUCAGGCCUUGUGUCUGUUGAUAGUUAUCGCGGUCUCGACCGGCUGAUCUUCAUGCUGUAUUGUAUUUAUUGUGUAUUGCGGGUGCUGCUUCCUCGGAAGUAGUGCUGG